CUACGGGACGCUGCAGUGAGGAAUUUUGCGCAAUGGGGGAAACCCUGACGCAGCAACGCCGCGUGAGUGAUGAAGGCCUUCGGGUCGUAAAACUCUGUCAAGUGGGAAGAACCUAUGUAAGGUUAAUACCCUUAUGUACUGACGGUACCACUGAAGGAAGCACCGGCUAACUCCGUGCCAGCAGCCGCGGUAAUACGGAGGGUGCAAGCGUUAUUCGGAAUUAUUGGGCGUAAAGGGCGCGCAGGCGGUUUUGUAAGUCAGAUGUGAAAGCCCGGGGCUUAACCUCGGGAGUGCAUUUGAUACUGCAAGACUUGAGUAUGGGAGGGGGAAGUGGAAUUCCUGGUGUAGAGGUGAAAUUCGUAGAUAUCAGGAGGAACACCAGUGGCGAAGGCGACUUCCUGGACCAAUACUGACGCUGAGGCGCGAAGGCGUGGGGAGCAAACAGGAUUAGAUACCCCUGUAGUC
RNAcentral lists this ribosomal RNA (465 nucleotides) under uncultured bacterium. RNAcentral's name for it is "partial 16S ribosomal RNA". It matches the Rfam family "Bacterial small subunit ribosomal RNA", at positions 339 to 795 of the family's 1533-position model. The record is from RNAcentral.